UGGCUCAGGAUGAACGCUGGCGGCAGGCUUAACACAUGCAAGUCGAGGGGCAGCAUGGGCAUAGCAAUAUGCCCGAUGGCGACCGGCGCACUGGUGAGUAACACGUAUGCAACCUGCCCCCUACAGGGGGAUAAUCCAGAGAAAUUUGGUCUAAUACCCCGUAGUCAGCGAGAGGGCAUCCUCUCGUUGGGAAAGCUCCGGCGGUAGGGGAUGGGCAUGCGGCGCAUUAGCUGGUUGGCGGGGCGACGGCCCACCAAGGCGACGAUGCGUAGGGGUUCUGAGAGGAAGGUCCCCCACACUGGUACUGAGACACAGACCAGACUCCUACGGGAGGCAGCAGUGGGGAAUA
This 349-nucleotide ribosomal RNA is filed under the name uncultured rumen bacterium. Its description in RNAcentral is "bacterial SSU rRNA". It matches the Rfam family "Bacterial small subunit ribosomal RNA", at positions 20 to 363 of the family's 1533-position model. The record is from RNAcentral.